CGGGUACGUUAAUAGCGUAUUCGUUUGACGUUAGCGACAGAAGAAAGCACCGGCUAACUCCGUGCCAGCAGCCGCGGUAAUACGGAGGGUGCGAGCGUUAAUCGGAAUUACUGGGCGUAAAGCGCAUGCAGGUGGUUUGUUAAGUCAGAUGUGAAAGACCCGGGGCGUCAACCUCGGAAUAGCAUUUGAAACUGGCAGACUAGAGUACUGUAGAGGGGGGUAGGAAUUUCAGGUGUAGCGGUGAAAAUGCGUAGAGAUCUGAAGGAAUACCGGUGGCGAAGGCGGCCCCCUCGGACAGAUACUGACACUCAGAUGCGAAAGCGUGGGGAGCAAACAGGAUUAGAUACCCUGGUAG
Molecule: ribosomal RNA, 355 nt
Filed under: uncultured bacterium
Lineage: Bacteria
Description: bacterial SSU rRNA
Rfam family: Bacterial small subunit ribosomal RNA
Source: RNAcentral